GGUUGUGCACACGUCCCGAGGGACGGCGCCAUUCCGCCAAGUUUGACAUGUAAAUUGGCGGGAAACGCGUUCGGAAACCUCAAUUGGUUUAAGAAGUUUUUAAUGUUUUUGAAUUUGGAAUUGUUAGUGUAUUUGUUAUUGGUGAAAUUGAUUUUUAUCAUGUGUGUUGUUAUUUGAUUUUGUGACUGUAGUGUGUUUGCUGGUCCGAAAUUUAAAAAUUUGUUAUGUGUAGUUUUUGCAGUAAGAAGAGAAUAUAAUCACGCCUGUGACUACAGAGAGUGUUACCUGGCGAGCGUUGCUCGGUGGGGUGUCGCGGCGAGGUGGCGUGCAGUGCGUUGCGGCUGCCGUGCUGGAACGAGACGGACAUGCCGCUGUCCAGCGACCCCACCGACCCGCGCCGCGUCAGACGCUCCGCCGCCAGCGCCACUGAGACAUGCUCGUGGUCGUUGAUGUCGACGAGCGAGUUGCUGAGCACGUUGCGCUUGAUGAUGCUGGUGGGCGGCGGGUUGGACGCCAGCCGCGACGGGGCGGCCGGCGCCGGGCACGACGGCGGCGGCGGCACCACCACUCUGCGGGCACAACACACAGUCACUUCUAAAGAUAAAAUCACUAUAUUGUACCUAUAAAUUUGCGUAUAGAGGUCAUAAUAUGAAAAAUGAAGAUACCUACUUACAAAGUAAAAUUACCAGUUGUAUUUUUUAAUGUUAAAUAAACUAGCAAAUGAAUAACUA
This is a long non-coding RNA of Manduca sexta (tobacco hornworm), 731 nucleotides long. RefSeq lists it as uncharacterized. The record is from RefSeq and is a predicted model, not a curated record. NCBI's taxonomy places the organism in Eukaryota, Metazoa, Arthropoda, Insecta, Lepidoptera, Sphingidae. The transcript is spliced from 3 exons.